Molecule: non-coding RNA, 3137 nt
Organism: Cricetulus griseus (Chinese hamster)
Lineage: Eukaryota; Metazoa; Chordata; Mammalia; Rodentia; Cricetidae
Source: RefSeq, a predicted model, not a curated record
GGGCCCUAACUCUGGUGGGCGGCUGGCAUAAAGUGUACCCGUGGCGGUGGGGCUCGGCAGCUUAUGGCGGAAAGAUUUAUCGUAACAACUCCUUCCUGCUUCUGUUUAGGUAAGGAAGUCAGUUUUCCUUACCAGCCAAGUUAUUUUCAGUCAGCCUUUUCUAUUGAAAUCUGACAGAUAUAGAAGCAUCCAGACUGAUACAAAAUGAAAAUUUGAGUUAUUAACCAUACCUAAUGAUGUUGGAAGAGGCAGAGUUGUCAUAUGAGCCCAGACAGAGCACUGUACCCUCUGUUGAUGCUACCCUGUGGGUGGAGGCCGGCUACAGCACAGUCACUCAGUGAGCAUCUGCACGGCUAACCACUGUGGGCCACGUAGAGAAAUAUGAGAAACUAGACACAUGCUUAGACACAGCCUCAUAAAAUGCUAUGAAAGGCGAAAGGCUGGGCUGUUGCUGAUUUUAAUAUUGUAUAAAAGAGUUUAAUUAUUUUUGAUUCUCUUAUUCUCAAAAAUGUGGUUGGCAACACUGAACUCCACCACCCUGCCUAGUCAGGGCACCCCUAAAUGUAUAGGGCCAGGGCACUCCUAAUAGAUAGGCAGGAGUGGCCUGAGGCAAGCUCCACUAUGAGCUGUCACAGCCGUAAUGCUACAGGCCUGGAUAUUCCUCAACUUUGAUCUGAGAAACCUCUCUCUAACUUUAGGCUUCUUCUGCCAUUGCCAAUUUCUUAACUCCAUCAAGGCUACAGAGGUCAUUGCUGAUGAUGGCAGCAGCAGUGGUGACGUUGGUGACAUUGGUGAUGGUGGUGGGUCAGCACUCUGAGCAUCCAAUCUCAGUUGCCGUCCAAGACCUGACCAGAACCCAGAGAGAGCAAGCCUGUCCUCUUCGACCAAAAUCCCACCCGCUUACCUGUGACCACAUCCGAAUGGGCGGGGUCAGCGCCACAGGUACCUACAUUCUCACUACACACAGUGACUAGGGCUUUAGUGGGAAACCUAGAAGCCUGGGGUGGGAUUUUCAGAAAGUUCACCAAACUCACAUGCCUGAUGGUGGAGGCUGUCUGCUGGCUGAGAGGCCCUUACCGUGUUGUCUUUCCAGGUGGGCCCUGGCAGAGUUCCUCACUAGAUUCCUACAGUGAGCAUUGAGAGCUGGGAAGGGGGAAAGAGAUGGGAAGGGGCUGAGUCCUUUUCAUCAGUCCUGGGCAUCAGUCAUGUCCAACAGUGGUAAGCCCAGCCUAGAUCCAAGGGGAGGGAAAACAGCUGUCACAUCUCAGUGGUUGGGUACCACACACAUUGUUGGAAGGGCAUGGGAUGCGAACACAUAUCCCCAUGUUUGAAAUACAUAAUUUACACCAUCAAAAGGUGAUGGCACCGGUGACGAUGACGGCAGCAACAGGCUGAGAGCUAUUCCUUCCUGUGUCUACCAGAGAGACUGACUACAGUGGUUUUUACUGUGACACAUCCUUCAUUUCAUUCCACCAGAGCCUUGUUCAGAGAACCCCAUCUCUAUGAACUGAUAUUAACCGCCAUCCUAGGUAGAGAGCUGGCUGCAGUUUGUAGGGACUGACUUGAAGAGACAGGACUGCUUGGUCCGUGUGACUGAAUAGCAGCCAUAGAAGAAAGGAGUGGAGACAAGUGCCCCCUUUUACAAUGUUAAAUUGCAUUUAUUUGUUUGUUCGUGUGUGUGUGUGUGUGUGUGUGUGUGUGUGUGUGUGUGUGUGUACAAAUACCACAGCAAGAACACGUGGAGGUCAGAGAACAACUUGGGGGACUCAAUUCUCUCCUUUCACCGUGUGGCUUUUGGGGACGGAACUCAAGUCAUCAGGCUUAGCAGCAAGUGCCUUUAUUCACAAAACUGUCCCUGUGUCCCUCAAUAGUCACUCUUGUGGGGUCAUUUAGCUCAUCCCACACUGUCAGGUACACAGAGCGAGCUAGAUGCAAGUUCAGUUAUUGUAUGAUCACUGUGUAUAGGGGCUUGGAGGAGUCAUUUAAUUCUGGUUUGCAAAUUUCCCUUUUGAAAACAAUAAACUGAUGCUAAAAGAUAAUUUGGCUUAAGUUUGUAUUGUUACACAUUCAUUAAUAUAACAAUGGAUUUUACUAUGACAUGUCCAUACUUGUGUAUUGUGUAUUUUGAUCAUAUUGGUCUCCCAUCACCUUCUGGCCAGCUCCCACUCCUGUUGAUCCCCUCCCUCUUCCCAACUCAUCCUCUGUUUUCAUGUUUUUGUGAACCGAUGAGUUUCCUUAGCGUUGCUUGCAGAAGCACAGGCAAGAGUUUAUUUACAGGAGUACAGGCACCUUAGUGGCUACACCACAGAAGAAAACGUCCUCCGCUCCCCAGCAGCCACAAGGAUGGUUUUUGCUUUUGAUUUUAACUUCCUUUUAACCCGAAAGUAAUUUUCACAACUUUCAUCAACAAAGAAGACUGGGUUCCCACCUGCCUUCUAUAGGGUAAAAGGGACAGCCAAAGAAACACACCCUGACCCUGAGACCGGGGACAAGAGGUUUAAAAGGGCCAGUGAAAGAAACACACUCCAUCCCUGGCCAACUCAGUACAAAUAAACAAUCCCUGAGCAGGAAAACCAACCAAUCCCUGAGCACGAAAUCUUGUCAGUCUGUGAGUUUGUCCAAGUUUAGGGAUUGGAGUUUGAACAAUUCCUACACUGGAAAAAUUCUACCUCUGAGAAGCCCUAUAUAAGCCCUGUACCUGCUGAGUGGGGGCCACCUUUUCCACCCGGGCACAGGCAGCCACCCGCUUGGAUUCUUCCAUCCCGGUAAAUUCCUGAAUGAGGUUUGAGGAAGACCUUUCCCAGGAAUGGGAACAGAGAAGUAACAGCUUUCACUAGAGGGAGGGGCGAGCAGAAAUGUAACAACUUUACUGGGAAACCCUCCCCUGACAAUUGGAGUUGUUACAUUGGGGAAACCUUUCCCUGGAGAAGGGCUGUAAGUUGCUGUGUUUGGGUGACUCUAGUUUCCCUGGGCUCCUGACUCCCAGGAUCCUUUUUCAUCUGAGCUGCAAUGCUUACACCUUUGACACUGUUGGCUAUGAUAUCCACCUAGGCUGCAAGUAUCUCUCUGAGAUACUAAUGAGUCUGCCUUUCUAGACUCAUCUUAGGAUUUUGUUUGUUUAUUAUUUGUGUGUGGUG